Molecule: ribosomal RNA, 460 nt
Filed under: uncultured bacterium
Lineage: Bacteria
Description: partial 16S ribosomal RNA
Rfam family: Bacterial small subunit ribosomal RNA
Source: RNAcentral
CCUACGGGAGGCUGCAGUGAGGAAUAUUGGUCAAUGGACGAGAGUCUGAACCAGCCAAGUAGCGUGAAGGAUGACUGCCCUAUGGGUUGUAACCUUCUUUUAUAUGGGAAUAAAAUGUUCCACGUGUGGGAUUUUGUAUGUACCAUAUGAAUAAGGAUCGGCUAACUUCGUUCCAGCAGCCGCGGUAAUACGGAGGAUCCGAGCGUUAUCCGGAUUUAUUGGGUUUAAAGGGAGCGUAGGUGGAUUGUUAAGUCAAUUGUGAAAGUUUGCGGCUCAACCGGAAAAUUGCAGUUGAAACUGGCAGUCUGGAGUACAGUAGAGGUGGGCGGAAUUCGUGGUGUAGCGGUGAAAUGCGUAGAUAUCACGAAGAACUCCGAUGGCGAAGGCAGCUAACUGGACUGCAACUGACACUGAGGCGCGAAAGUGUGGGUAUCAAACAGGAUUAGAUACCCGGGUAGUC